UAGGGAAUCUUCCGCAAUGGGCGAAAGCCUGACGGAGCAACGCCGCGUGAGUGAUGAAGGUCUUCGGAUCGUAAAACUCUGUUAUUAGGGAAGAACAAAUGUGUAAGUAACUAUGCACGUCUUGACGGUACCUAAUCAGAAAGCCACGGCUAACUACGUGCCAGCAGCCGCGGUAAUACGUAGGUGGCAAGCGUUAUCCGGAAUUAUUGGGCGUAAAGCGCGCGUAGGCGGUUUUUUAAGUCUGAUGUGAAAGCCCACGGCUCAACCGGGGAGGGUCAUUGGAAACUGGAAAACUUGAGUGCAGAAGAGGAAAGGGGAAUUCCAUGUGUAGCGGUGAAAUGCGCAGAGAUAUGGAGGAACACCAGUGGCGAAGGCGACUUUCUGGUCUGUAACUGACGCUGAUGUGCGAAAGCGUGGGGAUCAAACAGG
This 429-nucleotide ribosomal RNA is filed under the name Actinomycetes bacterium. RNAcentral's name for it is "Actinobacteria bacterium partial 16S ribosomal RNA". It matches the Rfam family "Bacterial small subunit ribosomal RNA", at positions 355 to 776 of the family's 1533-position model. Lineage: Bacteria; Bacillati; Actinomycetota; Actinomycetes. The record is from RNAcentral.